GAAAAAGAAGCAAGAGGAGAAAGCAGGGCUCCUGAAAGCCAGGCUGAUGAGGGAAAUUCCUGUGCUGAGUAAACAUGAAUUUCUGAAUAGGCAGAGUCUAUGUGUGAACAGCACAGGAGCUCGCCCCACCCCACCCCGGCAGACAGCCAGGGGUUUCAGGGAGCCAUGAAGAUGUCUCAGCAAUGUACACAAGACACGCAUAGGUGAAGCUGGACACUAGUCAGACCUGUGAAGUAACUUCCUGUAACAGAGGGAGGAAGACUGGCGGGGAUCAAGUGAUCGCAUCACCUCAUUGGCUCUGCAGGUCUAAGUCAACUCAAAGGCAACCGUGGCCCAGAUCCUCCUGACUUGUCACCGAGAGUGGCUGGAAUGAGUGGUGCUGCAGGAAACGCGGAGCCGAACUUUACAAU
Molecule: long non-coding RNA, 410 nt
Filed under: Rattus norvegicus (Norway rat)
Lineage: Eukaryota; Metazoa; Chordata; Mammalia; Rodentia; Muridae
Description: long non-coding RNA NONRATT012149
Source: RNAcentral